AUGUUUUUCGGACAUUUGGAGCACCGGGAGCACCCCAAGCCUGGGAGCACUAGAUACUUUCCCCCUGGAUUAUGUCUGAUGUCGAAGAUUGAUCAAUGUACACAGGUAGUUUUGGCCAGACAUUUUUCAAGUGGGGCAGAUUUGCCACUGCAUGAGGCAAUCGGGAUGCCUUCUCUUUCCCCUACUAUGACCGGGGGAAAUAUUGCAAGGUGGUUGAAGAAGGAAGGAGACAAAGUUUCACCUGGGGAAGUUCUUUGCGAAGUGGAAACCGAUAAAGCUACCGUGGAGAUGGAAUGCAUGGAGGAAGGCUAUCUUGCUAAGAUAGUUUGUGGAGAUGGCGCAAAAGAGAUUAAAGUCGGCGAGGUUUAA
Molecule: ribosomal RNA, 369 nt
Filed under: Triticum aestivum (bread wheat)
Lineage: Eukaryota; Viridiplantae; Streptophyta; Magnoliopsida; Poales; Poaceae
Description: partial small subunit ribosomal RNA
Source: RNAcentral